ACCUCCUGGGGAUCUUGUUAUAAUGCAGAUUCUGACCCAGAAUGUCUGAAGUUGGACCUGAGAUUCUGCAUUUCUAGCAAGCUCCCAGGAGAUGUCAG
This 98-nucleotide microRNA precursor is filed under the name Canis lupus familiaris (dog). RNAcentral describes it as "mir-544 microRNA precursor family". It matches the Rfam family "mir-544 microRNA precursor family". RNAcentral also lists the same sequence under 2 other names. The record is from Rfam by way of RNAcentral. Lineage: Eukaryota; Metazoa; Chordata; Mammalia; Carnivora; Canidae.